Molecule: small nuclear RNA, 325 nt
Filed under: Erinaceus europaeus (western European hedgehog)
Lineage: Eukaryota; Metazoa; Chordata; Mammalia; Eulipotyphla; Erinaceidae
Description: 7SK RNA
Rfam family: 7SK RNA
About the family: 7SK was discovered as an abundant small nuclear RNA in the mid-70s but a possible function has only recently been suggested. Two independent studies have found that 7SK RNA binds the CDK9/cyclin T complex (known as elongation factor P-TEFb).
Source: Rfam by way of RNAcentral
GGAUGUGAGGACAAUCUGACUGUGACAUCUGUCACCCCAUUGAUCCCCAGGGUUGAUUCAGCUGAUCUGACUGGAUUGGCAGGUGUCCUCUUCCUCCCUCACUGCUCUAUGUGCUUCCCUCCUGAAGCUGCACGCUUGGUCAAAGAUGGCCUUGCCUGAAUAGAGACUAGUCUUUGGUCGAGGGUAUAUGAGUAGCUGCGCUCCCCUGUUAGAACCUCCAAACAAGCUCUCAGGGUCCAUUUGUAGGAUACUGUAGGGUAGUCAAGCUUCCAAGACUCCAAACACAUCCAAAUGAGGCACUGCAUGUGGCAGUCUGCCUUAAAAA